GCACAAGCGGUGGAUCAUGUUGUUUAAUUCGAUGAUACGCGAAGAACCUUUACCAGGUCUUGACAUCCCUUGCAAAGCUAUGGAGACAUAGUGGAGGUUAUCAAGGAGACAGGUGGUGCAUGGUUGUCGUCAGCUCGUGUCGUGAGAUGUUGGGUUAAGUCCCGCAACGAGCGCAACCCUUAUUGCUAGUUACCAUCAUUCAGUUGGGGACUCUAGCGAGACUGCCAGUGAUAAACUGGAGGAAGGUGGGGAUGACGUCAAAUCAUCAUGCCCCUUAUGACCUGGGCUACAAACGUGAUACAAUGGCUGAAACAAAGGGCAGCGAAGCAGUGAUGUGGAGCGAAACCCAAAAAAGCAGUCUCAGUUCGGAUUGAAGUCUGCAACUCGACUUCAUGAAGUCGGAAUCGCUAGUAAUCGCGGAUCAGAACGCCGCGGUGAAUACGUUCUCGGGGUUU
RNAcentral lists this ribosomal RNA (455 nucleotides) under uncultured Acholeplasma sp. RNAcentral's name for it is "bacterial SSU rRNA". It matches the Rfam family "Bacterial small subunit ribosomal RNA", at positions 923 to 1382 of the family's 1533-position model. The record is from RNAcentral. Lineage: Bacteria; Bacillati; Mycoplasmatota; Mollicutes; Acholeplasmatales; Acholeplasmataceae.